CCUACGGGAGGCAGCAGUAGGGAAUAUUGCUCAAUGGGGGAAACCCUGAAGCAGCAACGCCGCGUGGAGGAUGAAGGUUUUAGGAUUGUAAACUCCUUUUGUGAGAGAAGAUAAUGACGGUAUCUCACGAAUAAGCACCGGCUAACUCCGUGCCAGCAGCCGCGGUAAUACGGAGGGUGCAAGCGUUACUCGGAAUCACUGGGCGUAAAGAGUGCGCAGGCGGGCUUGUAAGUCAGAUGUGAAAUCCUGUAGCUUAACUACAGAACUGCAUUUGAAACUAUGAGUCUAGAGUGUGGGAGAGGUAGGUGGAAUUCUUGGUGUAGGGGUAAAAUCCGUAGAUAUCAAGAGGAAUACUCAUUGCGAAGGCGACCUACUGGAACAUUACUGACGCUCAUGCACGAAAGCGUGGGGAGCAAACAGGAUUAGAUACCCCAGUAGUC
RNAcentral lists this ribosomal RNA (440 nucleotides) under uncultured bacterium. RNAcentral describes it as "partial 16S ribosomal RNA". It matches the Rfam family "Bacterial small subunit ribosomal RNA", at positions 338 to 795 of the family's 1533-position model. The record is from RNAcentral.